Molecule: ribosomal RNA, 254 nt
Filed under: uncultured bacterium
Lineage: Bacteria
Description: partial 16S ribosomal RNA
Rfam family: Bacterial small subunit ribosomal RNA
Source: RNAcentral
UACGUAGGUGGCAAGCGUUGUCCGGAAUUACUGGGCGUAAAGCGUGCGCAGGCGGUCUGUUAAGACCGAUGUGAAAUCCCCGGGCUUAACCUGGGAACUGCAUUGGUGACUGGCAGGCUUUGAGUGUGGCAGAGGGAGGUAGAAUUCCACGUGUAGCAGUGAAAUGCGUAGAGAUGUGGAGGAAUACCGAUGGCGAAGGCAGCCUCCUGGGCCAACACUGACGCUCAUGCACGAAAGCGUGGGGAGCAAACAGG